UGUAAGCGUAUACCAAAGUUGUUGCAGUUAAAACGCUCGUAGUCGGAACUUGGCCGUUCCGGAUGUGUGCACGUCGUGUGCGCACUUUGCAGGGGCGGCUUUUGUGGUCUUGCGUAGGAUGAGGCACUUUUAUUAGUGAACGUCCUCACGCAACCACUCUUUACUGUGAGAAAAUCAGAGUGCUCAAAGCAGGCAUUUGCCGUGAAUGUAUUAGCAUGGAAUAAUAGAAUAGGACUCGGUUCUAUUUUGUUGGUUUGUUGGGACUGAGUAAUGAUUAAGAGGGACAGUUGGGGGCAUUUGUAUUUCGGCGCUAGAGGUGAAAUUCUUAGAUUGCCGAAAGACAAACUGCUGCGAAAGCGUCUGCCAAGGAUGUUUUCAUUGA
RNAcentral lists this ribosomal RNA (382 nucleotides) under uncultured eukaryote. RNAcentral's name for it is "partial 18S ribosomal RNA". It matches the Rfam family "Eukaryotic small subunit ribosomal RNA", at positions 592 to 976 of the family's 1831-position model. The record is from RNAcentral.